ACUCUCGUGUCAGAGUUUGAUCCUGGCUCAGGAUGAACGCUAGCGGCAGGCUUAACACAUGCAAGUCGAGGGGCGAGCAUGAGACGGAGAUUCGUCGAAGUCUUGAUGGCGACCGGCGCAAGGGUGCGUAACGCGUGAGCAACUUGCCCGUUUCAGGGGGAUAACCGGUGGAAACGCCGACUAAUACCCCAUAGUAUUGAGUUUAGGCAUCUUUACUCAAUUAAAGAACUUCGGAAACGGAUAGGCUCGCGUGACAUUAGCUAGAUGGCGGGGUAACGGCCCACCAUGGCGACGAUGUCUAGGGGUUCUGAGAGGAAGGUCCCCCACACUGGAACUGAGACACGGUCCAG
Molecule: ribosomal RNA, 350 nt
Filed under: uncultured bacterium
Lineage: Bacteria
Description: bacterial SSU rRNA
Rfam family: Bacterial small subunit ribosomal RNA
Source: RNAcentral